RNAcentral lists this long non-coding RNA (1082 nucleotides) under Homo sapiens (human). Its description in RNAcentral is "HSALNT0026364". The record is from RNAcentral. Lineage: Eukaryota; Metazoa; Chordata; Mammalia; Primates; Hominidae.
AUUUUUUAAAAAUAAAAAUAGCCAAACCAAAAUCUUUCCUUUACUCAGACGUGAGCUACGUUUUUCUCAUGUUCACAUUAAGCUUGACCUAAUGUAUCUAAUCAGCUUCUAUGACAGCUGUUUUCCAUUUUCUGUUUGCUUGUUUUGCUAAAUUUUGAGGUCUUCAAAAAGUCUCCUUUGUAAUAAUGUAGGAACUUGAUAUAUUCCCCCAGGUUGAAUUCAGAAAAAUGUCAAAAUCUUUGUAAAGGUCUACAGCGCGCCUUACAGAAUCUGCUCCUGACUUCCUAAGAGCUGAUUCCCUGUUUCUCCCCUGCUCAUUUAUUUGGCUCUGAGAACACUGUCUUCCUUAAUUAUUCUCUGUCCAUCAGGCUGGUUUCCACCUGGUCAAUUGGCUUAGACUAGAACACCACGGCAUCCCUAACCUCAGGCAGCUGGAAUAAAUGAAGGCAUGGCAGUGGGCUCUCCCACCAGGAUCCAGAAGCCACAGGCCAACUACAGCAGUCCUUCGGCCAUCAGGGAUGCUCACCAUUGUCACAGACGAUGGGAGUCCUGGCACAGACCUUCACACCAUGUCACUCCUGUCUCACCAAGAAGCUUGGAAGGAAAUGUCAGCAGGACUAUAAUUGCUGAGUCCUGGGGACAACAGUGCCACUUCCCAAGAAAAUGGGACUGUUUUCAAGCUGUAAAAUCAAUUGUAAAAGAAAUAGCUCUUGGAAUGAAGCCCAGUGUGUGAGAUUCAGGUUGUGUUCUGCAGUAUUUGCCCACACUGCAAGUCAGCAUGCAAUUCCAGCUGAUGAAAUACACUGUAGCCUACACCAUCUUUACUGACCUCACCAUUAUUUCCAGGCCAUCUCAGAUGUGCAUGCUGUUCUUUGCCUUAAAGGAAGCCAGAUAUUAAAAAGAAAAAAAAAAACCCUAAAGUAAAUUUACCAAAACCACUGGUCCAAACAAGCAACAACAGUAACAAUAACAACAAAAUCAUGGAAAUAAGUAUUUUUUUUUAAGUAUGACAAGCAAAAGCAGUUGGUGCAAAUCUCCCCAAAACAGGUUGGGCUGAAUGACAGAUGUUGCCAAUGGCUGAC